UGGAGAGAUGGCUCAGCCG
RNAcentral lists this non-coding RNA (19 nucleotides) under Mus musculus (house mouse). The record is from RNAcentral. Lineage: Eukaryota; Metazoa; Chordata; Mammalia; Rodentia; Muridae.